UUAGAACCAGGGUGUUCGGUACGAUGUC
This 28-nucleotide small RNA is filed under the name Bombyx mori (domestic silkworm). RNAcentral describes it as "ovarian small RNA-36686". The record is from RNAcentral. Lineage: Eukaryota; Metazoa; Arthropoda; Insecta; Lepidoptera; Bombycidae.